GAUGAACGCUGGCGGCGUGCCUAAUACAUGCAAGUCGAGCGAACGGACGAGAAGCUUGCUUCUCUGAUGUUAGCGGCGGACGGGUGAGUAACACGUGGAUAACCUACCUAUAAGACUGGGAUAACUUCGGGAAACCGUAGCUAAUACCGGAUAAUAUUUUGAACCGCAUGGUUCAAAAGUGAAAGACGGUCUUUCUGUCACUUAUAGAUGGAUCCGCGCUGCAUUAGCUAGUUGGUAAGGUAACGGCUUACCAAGGCAACGAUGGAUAGCCGACCUGAUGGGGAGGUGGACCACACGGGAAGUGAGACAGGGCCCAGACUCUGGGGGGGGGAAGCAGACGGAACUCUUCCGGAAGGCGAGAAAGCGGAACGGUGCACCAUCGGGGGAGUGAUGAAGUUGUCAGGCCGUUAAAAUUCUGUAGUUCGGAAAAAAAAUAUGUGCAUGCACCUGGGACAAUCUUGACGGUACCUAAUAAAAAAGCCCCGGCUAACUACGUG
RNAcentral lists this ribosomal RNA (497 nucleotides) under uncultured bacterium. Its description in RNAcentral is "partial 16S ribosomal RNA". It matches the Rfam family "Bacterial small subunit ribosomal RNA", at positions 28 to 507 of the family's 1533-position model. The record is from RNAcentral.